This 1672-nucleotide ribosomal RNA is filed under the name human gut metagenome. RNAcentral's name for it is "bacterial LSU rRNA". It matches the Rfam family "Bacterial large subunit ribosomal RNA", at positions 890 to 2588 of the family's 2925-position model. The record is from RNAcentral.
AGUCUACUGGAGGUAGAGCUACUGAUUGGAUGCGGGGGCUUCACCGCCUACCAAAUCCUGACAAACUCCGAAUGCCAGUAGUAUGAUUUACAGCAGUGAGUGACUGGGUGCUAAUGUCCAGUCGCAAAAGAGGAACAACUCAGACCAGCAACUAAGGUCCCGAAGAAUAUGCUAAGUUGAUCUAACGAUGUUUUGUUGCAGAGACAGCUAGGAUGUUAGCUUGGAAGCAGCUAUUCAUUCAAAGAGUGCGUAACAGCUCACUAGUCGAGCGACAGAGCGUGGAUAAUAAACGGGCAUCAAGCAUAUCACCGAAGUUCUGGGCGCGAGAGCGCGGUAGGGGAGCAUUCCAUUCAGCGUCGAAGCAGUUUCGUGAGGAAUUGUGGAGCGUAUGGAAAAGCAAAUGUAGGCAUGAGUAACGAUAAUGCGGGAGAGUAACCCGCACACCGCAAGACCAAGGUUUCCUGAUCAACGCUAAUCGGAUCAGGGUUAGUCGGGUCCUAAGGGUAAGCCGAACGGCGAUCUCGAUGGAUAAUCGGUUAAUAUUCCGAUACUAACAUAUACCUCGAUGGAGAGACGAAGGAACGUAAGUGCCGCCACCUGACGGAAUAGGUGGUUAAAGGGCGUAGAUAUAGGGGCAGAUUAAGAGUUAGUCCUUGCUGAAACCUGACAGUACAGAGAGCCUACGGGCAAUUUGAUAGAGCACCCAAGUCGACUUCCGAGAAAAUCUUCUAAGUUAUAGUAUAUGUUACCCGUACCGUAAACCGACACAGGUGGUCGAGGAGAGUAUCCUAAGGUGCUCGAGUGAAUCACGGUUAAGGAACUAGGCAAAUUAACCCCGUAACUUCGGGAAAAGGGGUCCCUAUGAAAGUAGGGCGCAGCGAAGAGGUCCAGGCGACUGUUUAUCAAAAACACAGGGCUCUGCAAAUUCGAAAGAAGACGUAUAGGGCCUGACACCUGCCCGGUGCUGGAAGGUUAAGAGGGGAUGUCAUCGCAAGAGAAGCAUUGAAUCGAAGCCCCAGUAAACGGCGGCCGUAACUAUAACGGUCCUAAGGUAGCGAAAUUCCUUGUCGGGUAAGUUCCGACCUGCACGAAUGGUGUAACGAUCUGGACACUGUCUCAACCGUGAGCUCGGUGAAAUUGUAGUCCCGGUGAUGAUGCCGGGUACCCGCAACGGGACGAAAAGACCCCGUGAACCUUUACUAUAGCUUAACGCUGAAUUUGGGUACACAAUGUGUAGGAUAGGCCGGAGGCUUUGAAGCGGGCACGCCAGUGUUCGUGGAGCCGACGUUGAAAUACGGCCCUUUGUGUAUUUGAGUUCUAACCCUGCGAAGGGGACACCGUUUGGUGGGUAGUUUGACUGGGGUGGUCGCCUCCAAAAGCGUAACGGAGGCUUCCCAAGGUACCCUCAGCACGAAUGGUAACCGUGCGCGGAGUGCAAUAGCAUAAGGGUGCUUGACUGUGAGACAUACAAGUCGACCAGGUACGAAAGUAGGGUAUAGUGAUCCGGUGGUUCUGCGUGGACUGGCCAUCGCUCAAAGGAUAAAAGGUACUCCGGGGAUAACAGGCUGAUCGCCGCCAAGAGCUCAUAUCGACGCGGCGGUUUGGCACCUCGAUGUCGGCUCGUCACAUCCUGGGGCUGGAGAAGGUCCCAAGGGUUCGGCUGUUCGCCGAU